GAAAUCAAAACGCUCCCUUCCUUCCGCGGCUUCUUCUUUCCCUGUGUCCGAAGAGGUCUGCGUUGCGACAUACGUGGUAGUGCUUGGAAGCCCAGAGCAAAAACACACACUGAGUACCUGCUCUCUGCCAGGAACUGUGUUAGGCACGAGGGAUGGGCCUUGCAGGAGACACAGAUCGAAGAUGGCGGGUUCCUGUAGUCCCAGCUACUCAGGAGGCUGAGGCAGGAGAAUGGCAUGAACCCGGGAGGCAGAGCUUGCAGUGAGCCGAGAUCGUGCCACUGCACUCCAGCCUGGGUGACAGAGCGAAACUCCGUCUC
This is a long non-coding RNA of Pan troglodytes (chimpanzee), 317 nucleotides long. RefSeq lists it as uncharacterized. The record is from RefSeq and is a predicted model, not a curated record. The transcript is spliced from 3 exons. Lineage: Eukaryota; Metazoa; Chordata; Mammalia; Primates; Hominidae.